ACUGCUGAGCUGAAUUAGGCAUAGAUUUUAGCUAUUUGUAUGCCUAUUUGAUCGUAUUAAUGGCGUAAAAUUCGCGUGUGACCAUUGUGGGGUGGAAGAGUUAUUUCAAUGCUUUUAGUUUCCCAUGGUCUUUGCUAAAAGGUACCCCUUUAUCAAACUUUUGUAAGAUUUUAGCCAUUUGCAUGCAUGUUUCACUUUAUUAUUGGGUGGAAGAAUUACUUUUACGCUUUCAGCUGAUCGAAG
RNAcentral lists this unclassified non-coding RNA (243 nucleotides) under Hevea brasiliensis (rubber tree). Lineage: Eukaryota; Viridiplantae; Streptophyta; Magnoliopsida; Malpighiales; Euphorbiaceae. The record is from RNAcentral.